AUCGCUUCUCGGCCUUUUGGCUAAGAUCAAGUGUAGUAUCUGUUCUUAUCAGUUUAAAAAGGACAGGAUGACAGCCUGCAAUUCCAAAAUAACUUCUGAGUAAAAUGUGGGCGAGCACCCUCUCAUCACCCUGCUCCCUGGACUCCAGGAGGUCACUGCCACACUCAGGCAGAUGUUCUCUUCUUUC
This is a small nuclear RNA of Cavia aperea (Brazilian guinea pig), 187 nucleotides long. Its record names the gene U2. It matches the Rfam family "U2 spliceosomal RNA". From Rfam's summary of the family: U2 is a small nuclear RNA (snRNA) component of the spliceosome (involved in pre-mRNA splicing). The record is from Ensembl. NCBI's taxonomy places the organism in Eukaryota, Metazoa, Chordata, Mammalia, Rodentia, Caviidae.